AAUCUCACCUGGACGACCCCACGUGGUGUGACAGAAUUGGAAGCGUACGAUGCCGACUGCGACAGAAGCACCAUCUCCUUGCGAUUUAUUCCGUCAGUCCUUCUUUACGACCGAAUCGAAUCCUACGAAGUCUUCAUCGCCGAAGGAAACGAGCUCCCCAAAAAUAUGACUUUUGGUAAUACGAAAGAACAGAUCUGUGAUUUGUGGGAUGAUCACACAUGCUUGAAAGAUGUAUCCCUACCUUCGAACGCUAAGGUCAACAUAACGAUUCACGCGACGGGCAAGAAGCUUGAUCGAUUUGAUAUCCGGAGUAACAUCACCUUCUCGCUGGAAGAAUCGUGCAAAUCAA
RNAcentral lists this long non-coding RNA (349 nucleotides) under Neodiprion lecontei (redheaded pine sawfly). RNAcentral describes it as "uncharacterized LOC124293936". Lineage: Eukaryota; Metazoa; Arthropoda; Insecta; Hymenoptera; Diprionidae. The record is from RNAcentral.